This 447-nucleotide ribosomal RNA is filed under the name uncultured bacterium. Its description in RNAcentral is "bacterial SSU rRNA". It matches the Rfam family "Bacterial small subunit ribosomal RNA", at positions 29 to 520 of the family's 1533-position model. The record is from RNAcentral.
AACGAACGCUGGCGGCAUGCCUAACACAUGCAAGUCGAACGAGACCUUCGGGUCUAGUGGCGCACGGGUGCGUAACGCGUGGGAAUCUGCCCUUGGGUUCGGAAUAACAGCGAGAAAUUGCUGCUAAUACCGGAUGAUGACGUAAGUCCAAAGAUUUAUCGCCCAAGGAUGAGCCCGCGUAGGAUUAGCUAGUUGGUGAGGUAAAGGCUCACCAAGGCGACGAUCCUUAGCUGGUCUGAGAGGAUGAUCAGCCACACUGGGACUGAGACACGGCCCAGACUCCUACGGGAGGCAGCAGUGGGGGAAUAUUGGACAAUGGGCGAAAGCCUGAUCCAGCAAUGCCGCGUGAGUGAUGAAGGCCUUAGGGUUGUAAAGCUCUUUUACCCGGGAUGAUAAUGACAGUACCGGGAGAAUAAGCUCCGGCUAACUCCGUGCCAGCAGCCGCGG